Molecule: non-coding RNA, 3401 nt
Organism: Aegilops tauschii subsp. strangulata
Lineage: Eukaryota; Viridiplantae; Streptophyta; Magnoliopsida; Poales; Poaceae
Source: RefSeq, a predicted model, not a curated record
AAAGAACCGUACGACGACCUCUCACACGAAGAAAAAAACUAACGAUCUCUCCCUGCGCCUGGGAACUCGAUCUGGAUCACGGCGGCGGCGGCGGCGGCGACGACUCCUCUCUCUCCCUCCGCGCACCGACGCAUCCCCCGGAGCCCUGCCCACCUCCUCCCUUUUCAGCGCCCACAUCGUGACCCCUGUGGCUACUCCACUCUUGAGGCGUCGUGGAGGUUACGGAAACCCGAUGGCGUUGGCUUGCCGGAGAUGAAGAAGACAGCCAGGUGAUGCGGUACUCGGGAGGUGGAAUUGGCAACGGAGGUGGCUCCAUAUGGAUGCCGCGGACCUCCCACUGGAUGGAAUCGAAGUGGGACGAUGUGCUUCGGUCGUCAACGACGGCUGCGCGGGAUGCAGUAUGGUAUGGAUCGGGCAUCUCGAGGAUGGGCUCUCUUCGCAAGGCCUCCUCCACGCCACAGCGGAGGUGUUUGAGGAGUCUGUCCCGGGGCUGCUCGUGAAGCAUGUCGACGUCUCCGUCUUGCCAUUGCUCAAAACACCGCCCUGCCGGCCGGGGUCCUUAUUUGCCAUCGAGGCCUUCCGCAACAGGGUCCAUGAUGCCUGAUUGCUUCCUCUUCGGCUGGAUCGGGUCCAACCACACAAUUAUUGUACUACUGUCUUGAGUGGCAAAUAUUUACUGAGAUGGGAUAAUAGGUAUACUAUUUUUCUAUUUCAAGACUGAAAUAUGAUUUCUUCCUGCUCUAUGUCAAUUUAAUUUUUUCCUGAAUAAUUUACCAACACAGUGCAGGUUGAUGUGUGUAGCACGUGUUAACAAAAUCUCAAUUAUCUGCAUGGUAUAUAUAUCUCUAAUAAUUGUCUUUUCCAGAAUGAAGAGAAGGUUUGAGAAAGAUAAUACUAAUAUUCCCGAUACAUUUGACAUUUAACUUUUACCAGAUUCUUGGAUUCCUCAAAAUCAUGUCUAUUAGCGUUUCUUCUAUAUAUAUAUGCAUGAUCUUUCCUUUUGAAAUUCUCAUCAUGUACAUGAUUUUUGCUACUGCUGGCCUUGAAUUGGCACUGAUUUGGGCCACCUUGUUGAAUGAUUCGUGCACUGAUGUGUUUCGUUGGUCUUUUGCGGCAUGUGGGGAGCGUAAACUGGAAGAACGUGUGCAGCAGGCAUCGCUGCUGCGCUGGACGACGUUGUGCGAGGCCAUGGCCAUGGACGAUGUGCUGUUGGAGAACGACGCAUGACUAAGGUAGUCGAUGUGAACGACCACUGGAAUUCCAAUUGCUUAUGGAUUUGUAUGAUGCAGCCUACAUGUUCCCAUCAUCCAGUAAAAUAUAGACAUCAAUUAUUGCAUCUGGGUUUAUAUUAUGCAUCCCCGCUGCCAGUUUCAUUGUUAAGUAGGAACGCAGAUUACAUUUAUAAAUGAUAUAUGUAUGUAAUUGUGUGCUGCAUUCUUGCUGUGCUUCCAGUAGAUGUACUAUCUUUUCAGCGUUGACUUUUAAAGCGUUUUUGCUGACAAGAAGCUUAUCAGUCGUAAUGUUCAGCACCUACAUUACCUGAUGGUCAUGUAGUGCUAGGGAAAUAGAUAUUAAUGUGGGAAAUAGAUAUACAAUAUGUUAUAAAGGAUAAGACAAAUAAUUAUUGGGUGUGAAAGAUCAGGAUGGAAGCAUUUUUUUUGCUAUCAUAUGAAUUAUUGAAUACAAUCUCGUAUGCAACCCCUCAAAAUUAGAUUUAAUUCAUGCUCGUACACCAUCACUUAAGUAGGAAAAGAGAAGUAUUUCUAAGGCUACUCUAUAUCUUAUUUUUCUUUCACAACAUAUAUAUUAUUAGUUAUAUGUUUGCUUGGGUAGGAAAGUAACAAUCAAUCCCUCAAAAUAAAAGGAAACUAAUGAUCAAGACCUUAGCUGGCUGACGGUAACUCCAUUCAUUCUCUUCCAAUUAUUAUUAUUUUAGUUAUUUUUCUAUUCUCAUGGGUAGGUUUCUUCUGUGUUGUUUUGCUUUAGUUUCGUAGUUGUCACUCCCAUGUAUCUCUUCGACGAGGAGACGUGGACACGAGGCCUAACUAUCCGGUAUAAAUUGGUUUUCCCACUGUCGCUGUGAGAUUGGAUUGUUGUUCCCUUUUCUGCACAUGAUUGUUCCACUUGUGAUUUAUCAUAUAUGAAUUGCUACUUGACAUCCUUUUGAUCCAGCGUGAUUUCUUGCUUCUUCUCAUCUUGUUGACUACUGGUUGUGUUUGUUCUCUCGCCAAAGGCCGGGACUUUGAGUUGCCUGCCAUGGUGGAGCUCGGGAUGUUGGCAGAUCUGACCGGACUGGUGAGCACUCUGCCCACACCUGCCGAGGUCGCCCUGCUCUGUGCCAUGCUCGGAAAUGGCGAAUUUACGUAUCCUUAUCAGCCUUAUACUAAUACAUGUAUCUGUAUCGGUGCAUUCUUGGAUUUCAUGUAUAAGCCGCUCAAGAGAAAUUUAAAUAAGUGCCAUUUGGAGUAACAGUCUACAAUGCCACAACACUUUGUUGGACCUAUUUUUGGCGUUUCUUCUGCCAGCUGAUGAGUCUUUCAGGGAUGCAAAUUGUCUGCCUUCGGAAAAUCAGAAGAAUGAAAGAAUGGGAUUUAUAGCAUAUAUGCUCUAUGUGCAGCUGAUGAAGCUUUGAGAGAUGAAAUUGGUUGCCUUCGGAAAAUAAGAAGAAGGAAAGAACGGGUGUUUCAAUUGGUGGGGGAAUCGGAAGCAUCUCAGACAUUUUAAAUGCAUGACUGCUGAUUGCUGAAAAUGAAAUAUGCAGUUAUGGAUCCAUUCUAUAGUUGGAAUAUGAGACUCCAUAUAUGUGUGUAUGUUUAUUCUUGCUUGAAUCUGGAGCUGAAGGUGUGAACAGCAAUUUGCAACGUCGUGGCAAGGUUCAGUUCGGCAAGGAGACCAAUGAGGCAGCUACUUGUACAAUGUCCAAGCCGAUUGUACUCUGGCCUGUCAAACAAGAAGACUCUGAUGCAACUAGCUGCUGAAAAGGAGAUGAAUGUGGUCAUGUUGACAACCAAGACAAAGAAGCAGGAGACCAAGCCUUCUGCGUUCCCCAUUGGCAUGCACAAGGAGUUCCGCAAGAUGGACAAUGUUGUCCAGAAUUAGGUCACUAGCAGCUACUACAUGACCGACUUGACCAAGCCCACUCUUCCAAGACUAUCAAUUUACCGCAACCUCCAAGUUACGGCGACGCAUGGGCGGGGCAGCCACCCCCCAGAUCCCGUUAGCACAGUGUCAUAAAAAUAUAUUUAUACUGAUUGUUGCGCAAAGUAGAAGGCUAUUGUUUGUAGUUAUUAGUUUAUUUCCUCUAUAUACAAUGACACGGUUUACUGUGUGUCCAAGAGGAAGGAAAAAUAGAUUUAUAGGUGUUAUGUGACUUACCUUUUAAAAGGAAUAACUUCAUGCUA